UACAGAGGUCUCGAGCGUUGUUCGGAUUCAUUGGGCGUAAAGGGUGCGUAGGUGGUCUGGUAAGUCGGAUGUGAAAUCCCGGAGCUUAACUUCGGAACUGCAUUCGAUACUGCCGGACUGGAGUACUUAAGAGGAUCGCGGAAUUCCCGGUGUAGAGGUGAAAUUCGUAGAUAUCGGGAGGAACACCAGUGGCGAAGGCGGCGAUCUGGGAAGAUACUGACGCUGAGGUGCGAAAGCGUGGGGAGCAAACAGG
Molecule: ribosomal RNA, 253 nt
Filed under: uncultured bacterium
Lineage: Bacteria
Description: partial 16S ribosomal RNA
Rfam family: Bacterial small subunit ribosomal RNA
Source: RNAcentral